AUUGAACGCUGGCGGCAUGCUUUACACAUGCAAGUCGAACGGUAACAGGUUAAGCUGACGAGUGGCGAACGGGUGAGUAAUGCAUCGGAACGUGCCCGGUCGUGGGGGAUAACGCAGCGAAAGCUGCGCUAAUACCGCAUACGAUCUAGGGAUGAAAGCGGGGGACCGUAAGGCCUCGCGCGAUCGGAGCGGCCGAUGUCAGAUUAGGUAGUUGGUGGGGUAAAGGCUCACCAAGCCAACGAUCUAUAGCUGGUCUGAGAGGACGACCAGCCACACUGGGACUGAGACACGGCCCAGACUCCUACGGGAGGCAGCAGUGGGGAAUUAUGGACAAUGGGCGAAAGCCUGAUCCAGCAAUGCCGCGUGCAGGAAGAAGGCCUUCGGGUUGUAAACUGCUUUUGUACGGAGCGAAAAGGUCUCCUCUAAUACAGGGGGCUCAUGACGGUACCGUAAGAAUAAGCACCGGCUAACUACGUGCCAGCAGCCGCCGUAA
Molecule: ribosomal RNA, 493 nt
Filed under: uncultured bacterium
Lineage: Bacteria
Description: partial 16S ribosomal RNA
Rfam family: Bacterial small subunit ribosomal RNA
Source: RNAcentral